Fukomys damarensis (Damara mole-rat) is the source of this 135-nucleotide small nucleolar RNA. Its record names the gene SNORA70. It matches the Rfam family "Small nucleolar RNA SNORA70". Rfam says of the family: snoRNA U70 seems to be exclusive to mammals and is a member of the H/ACA class of snoRNA which contain H (ANANNA) and ACA box motifs. H/ACA box snoRNAs are involved in the conversion of uridines to pseudouridines (5-ribosyluracil) a constituent of structural RNAs (transfer, ribosomal, small nuclear, and small nucleolar). NCBI's taxonomy places the organism in Eukaryota, Metazoa, Chordata, Mammalia, Rodentia, Bathyergidae. The record is from Ensembl.
CUGCAGUCAAUUAAGCCGACUGGGUUCCUCUGCUGGUAGGUGCUCAGUGUGCAGUGGCUGCAAACAGCAAUCUCCUUGGUAGUGUAUGUGGCCUGUUGCUUGUAUGGGCUGCCCUAAGGGACCUUGGAGACACUG